This 253-nucleotide ribosomal RNA is filed under the name uncultured bacterium. RNAcentral describes it as "partial 16S ribosomal RNA". It matches the Rfam family "Bacterial small subunit ribosomal RNA", at positions 524 to 776 of the family's 1533-position model. The record is from RNAcentral.
UACAGAGGGCGCGAGCGUUAAUCGGAAUUACUGGGCGUAAAGCGUGCGUAGACGGCUAUCUAAGUCGGGUGUGAAAGCCCCGGGCUCAACCUGGGAAUUGCAUUCGAGACUGAAUAGCUAGGGUACGGUAGAGGGAAGUGGAAUUUCCGGUGUAGCGGUGAAAUGCGUAGAUAUCGGAAGGAACAUCAGUGGCGAAAGCGGCGACCUGGACAGAUAUUGACGCUGAGGCACGAAAGCGUGGGGAGCAAACAGG